RNAcentral lists this ribosomal RNA (510 nucleotides) under uncultured bacterium. RNAcentral describes it as "partial 16S ribosomal RNA". It matches the Rfam family "Bacterial small subunit ribosomal RNA", at positions 28 to 507 of the family's 1533-position model. The record is from RNAcentral.
GACGAACGCUGGCGGCGUGCUUAACACAUGCCAGUCGAACGAAGAGCGAUGGAAGCUUGCUUCUAUCAAUCUUAGUGGCGAACGGGUGAGUAACGCGUAAUCAACCUGCCCUUCAGAGGGGGACAACAGUUGGAAACGACUGCUAAUACCGCAUACGAUCUAAUCUCGGCAUCGAGGAUAGAUGAAAGGUGGCCUCUACAUGUAAGCUAUCACUGAAGGAGGGGGUUGCGUCUGAUUAGCUAGUUGGAGGGGUAACGGCCCACCAAGGCGAUGAUCAGUAGCCGGUCUGAGAGGAUGAACGGCCACAUUGGGACUGAGACACGGCCCAGACUCCUACGGGAGGCAGCAGGGGGGAAUCUUCCGCAAUGGACGAAAGGCUGACGGAGCAACGCCGCGUGAGUGAUGACGGCCUUCGGGUUGUAAAGCUCUGUUAAUCGGGACGAAAGGCCUUCUUGCGAAUAGUGAGAAGGAUUGACGGUACCGGAAUAGAAAGCCACGGCUAACUACGUG